RNAcentral lists this ribosomal RNA (439 nucleotides) under uncultured bacterium. RNAcentral's name for it is "partial 16S ribosomal RNA". It matches the Rfam family "Bacterial small subunit ribosomal RNA", at positions 339 to 795 of the family's 1533-position model. The record is from RNAcentral.
CUACGGGUUGCUCCAGUGAGGAAUAUUGCACAAUGGGGGGAACCCUGAUGCAGCAACGCCGCGUGGAGGAUGACGCAUUUCGGUGUGUAAACUCCUUUUAUAUGUCAAGAAAAUGACGGUAGCAUAUGAAUAAGCACCGGCUAACUCCGUGCCAGCAGCCGCGGUAAUACGGAGGGUGCAAGCGUUACUCGGAAUCACUGGGCGUAAAGGACGCGUAGGCGGGUUGGAAAGUCAGGUGUGAAAUUCUACAGCUUAACUGUAGAACUGCACUUGAAACUUCUAAUCUAGAGUAUGGGAGGGGGAGAUGGAAUUAGUGGUGUAGGGGUAAAAUCCGUAGAUAUCACUAGGAAUACCUAAAGCGAAGGCGAUCUCCUGGAGCAUUACUGACGCUAAGGCGUGAAAGCGUGGGGAGCAAACAGGAUUAGAUACCCGCGUAGUC